GUGGGGAAUAUUGGACAAUGGGCGCAAGCCUGAUCCAGCCAUGCCGCGUGAGUGAUGAAGGCCUUAGGGUUGUAAAGCUCUUUCAGUGGGGACGAUAAUGACGGUACCCACAGAAGAGGCCCCGGCUAACUUCGUGCCAGCAGCCGCGGUAAUACGAAGGGGGCUAGCGUUGUUCGGAUUUACUGGGCGUAAAGCGCACGUAGGCGGAUCGUUAAGUCGGGGGUGAAAUCCUGGAGCUCAACUCCAGAACUGCCUUCGAUACUGGCGAUCUUGAGUCCGGAAGAGGUGAGUGGAACUCCUAGUGUAGAGGUGGAAUUCGUAGAUAUUAGGAAGAACACCAGUGGCGAAGGCGGCUCACUGGUCCGGUACUGACGCUGAGGUGCGAAAGCGUGGGGAGCAAACAGGAUUAGAAACCCUAGUAGUCC
Molecule: ribosomal RNA, 425 nt
Filed under: uncultured bacterium
Lineage: Bacteria
Description: partial 16S ribosomal RNA
Rfam family: Bacterial small subunit ribosomal RNA
Source: RNAcentral